Long non-coding RNA from Astatotilapia calliptera (eastern happy), 1234 nucleotides. The record is from Ensembl. Lineage: Eukaryota; Metazoa; Chordata; Actinopteri; Cichliformes; Cichlidae.
UCACAAUCAUCGUCUGGUGUGCACAACAAUAUCAUCUUUGGACAAGUGCAUUCAGUGUGUGGGACUGGUUUCCUCCCUCAAGUGGCUUGGCUAUAAGUGCAAAGCAGAUGAAGGACUACUCACAAUGCCUGCAGCAAGUGAGACUGCUGCUCCCUCUGAAGAGAAAAAUGCUGCUCAAUCCCACAAUUCCCGAAGAGCUCCCAAAAACAUGUGGUCCAAGGCUGAGGUUGCUGCAGUGAUGAGGCAUUUGAAAGACCACAUAAACGAAGGGAAACUAGCCACCAAAAAUGAAUGCAGUCAUUGCAAAUUGGUAGAAGAUCCGGUGUUGGCAGGAAGAACAGUUCAAAACAUAAGAGAUUUUGUAAGAAACAGAGGAUUAACUGCAAAAAGGCAGAAAAAAAUGAACUAAAAUAACUGUUUAGAGAGCUGUGGUUUUACAUCUUGGUCAGAUUGCCAAUUGUUGUUAACACUGAUGUUCUGUUUAAAGAAAAAAAAGUUCUUGUUAAAUACAGAAGUAGUUUGUAUUUCAUAAUUUUUACAUUUAAUUUAUUUAGGGUUUUUUUUGACGGGUUAUAUUUAAAAUAAAAAAUUAUAAAUGCAUAUUUUCUCCCCUUAAUAUUUACCUUUAAACUAUUAAAAUUCAUUUUAAAUGUUUUUAAUUUUUCUGUUUUCUAUAUUUUUAUAUUUCUGUGGGAAGCGUGGGCAUUUUUGUCCAUAGAUUUCUUUUUUUAUUUAUGGUUAAAAUUAAUGUUCAGAUCCAAGAACACUAAUAAAAUGAUGUUCCAGUAAUCCUGUGUCCUGUCAGAUGUGUAUUCAUGGUAAUGAUGAGCUAUUUAAAUAUUACAUCAUUGUCCCUUUAAAGACCCAAUAUUGCUUUUUUUGGACCUCAUAAAACACAUUGUUGUCAAGUGGACAAUGUCUCCAGAAAACACAAUAGAGUCUGGUUGGUGUGUAUCAGUGUAUCUAGACUUCUAUAGGGAGUGUAUGAGGUCUGAAGUGACCCAAAUUUUUUUCAGAUUUUUUCGAACACUUUAACCUCGCUCCCUUGGCUCUAAGUCCUUUCAAAAGGGUAGUCCACUUAAACCACCACCGGGCGGAUUGACGUAGUAUAGUCCCGCCAUACCACAUAGACCCGUAUGUGUGUGUGUGUGUGUGUGUGUGACAGAGUUCAGUGAGACCAUGGAGGAGAAGAGGGGAGAGGGGGCAGAAUCGGGAGGGAGUUAAGCUUCCUGAC